This is a long non-coding RNA of Salvelinus namaycush (lake trout), 322 nucleotides long. RefSeq lists it as uncharacterized. The record is from RefSeq and is a predicted model, not a curated record. The transcript has 3 exons. NCBI's taxonomy places the organism in Eukaryota, Metazoa, Chordata, Actinopteri, Salmoniformes, Salmonidae.
AGAACUACUAGAAGCGGCCCGGACCGGGAAUGUGGUCCUGGUGGAGAAAUUACUGAGUGGGAAAAGGGGAAUCCUGGGGACAGCCUCGGGCUCCAUACCUCUGCCAAACCUACUGAGCAUGUGGAGAGGCUUGAAUGUGAACUGUGCAGACAGUUCAGGGUACACACCCCUCCACCACGCAUCACUGAACGGACACAGGGACGUGGUGUUGAAGUUGCUCCAGUUUGAAGCCUCCACCAAUGUGGCUGACAGUAAGGGCUGCUUCCCGUUGCACCUGGCCGCCUGGCGCGGGGACGUAGACAUCGUCCGUAUCCUCGUCCAC